This 482-nucleotide ribosomal RNA is filed under the name uncultured bacterium. Its description in RNAcentral is "bacterial SSU rRNA". It matches the Rfam family "Bacterial small subunit ribosomal RNA", at positions 30 to 507 of the family's 1533-position model. The record is from RNAcentral.
AUUGAACGCUGGCGGCAUGCCUUACACAUGCAAGUCGAACGGUAACGGGCCUUCGGGUGCCGACGAGUGGCGAACGGGUGGGUAAUGCAUCGGAACGUACCUUUCAGUGGGGGGAUAACGUAGCGAAAGUUACGCUAAUACCGCAUAUUCUGUGAGCAGGAAAGCAGGGGAUCGCAAGACCUUGCGCUGAUUGAGCGGCCGAUGUCAGAUUAGCUAGUUGGUGAGGUAAAGGCUCACCAAGGCGACGAUCUGUAGCGGGUCUGAGAGGGUGACCGGCCCGAGGGGCACUGAGAUACGGGUCCCACUCCUACGGGAGGCAGCAGGCUAGAAAUUUGGGCAAUGGGGAAACCCUGACCCAGUGACGCCGCGUGCAGGAAGGAGCCCUUCGGGGUGUAAACUGCUGUCGUGUAGGGAGAAGGGUACUAAGGUGAACAAUCUUAGUACUUGACGGUAUACAGGAGGAAGCCCAGGCUAACCUCGUG